ACUCAAAGGAAUUGACGGGGACCCGCACAAGCGGCGGAGCAUGCGGAUUAAUUCGAUGCAACGCGAAGAACCUUACCAAGGCUUGACAUAUACGAGAACGGGCUAGAAAUAGUCAACUCUUUGGACACUCGUAAACAGGUGGUGCAUGGUUGUCGUCAGCUCGUGUCGUGAGAUGUUGGGUUAAGUCCCGCAACGAGCGCAACCCUCGUUCUAUGUUGCCAGCACGUAAUGGUGGGAACUCAUGGGAUACUGCCGGGGUCAACUCGGAGGAAGGUGGGGAUGACGUCAAAUCAUCAUGCCCCUUAUGUCUUGGGCUUCACGCAUGCUACAAUGGCCGGUACAAAGGGCUGCAAUACCGUAAGGUGGAGCGAAUCCCAAAAAGCCGGUCCCAGUUCGGAUUGAGGUCUGCAACUCGACCUCAUGAAGUCGGAGUCGCUAGUAAUCGCAGAUCAGCAACGCUGCGGUGAAUACGUUCCCGGGUCUUGUACACACCGCCCGU
RNAcentral lists this ribosomal RNA (499 nucleotides) under uncultured bacterium. RNAcentral describes it as "partial 16S ribosomal RNA". It matches the Rfam family "Bacterial small subunit ribosomal RNA", at positions 899 to 1397 of the family's 1533-position model. The record is from RNAcentral.